CGGCGUGCCUAACACAUGCAAGUCGUACGAGAAGUCGGCUUCGGCUGAUGAGUAAAGUGGCGCACGGGUGAGUAACGCGUGGAUAAUCUGCCCUUGAGUGUGGAAUAACGUACCGAAAGGUGCGCUAAUACCGCAUAAUGCCUGGCAACACAAGUUGUCCGGCCAAAGAAGGCCUCUGUUUACAAGCUUUUGCUCAAGGAUGAGUCCGCGUACCAUUAGCUAGUUGGUGGGUAACGGCCUACCAAGGCUACGAUGGUUAGCUGGUCUGAGAGGAUGAUCAGCCACACUGGAACUGAGACACGGUCCAGACUCCUACGGGAGGCAGCAGUGAGGAAUAUUGCGCAAUGGGGGCAACCCUGACGCAGCAACGCCGCGUGAGUGAGGAAGGUUUUCGGACUGUAAAGCUCUGUCGAGCGGGAAGAAAUGUACCAUGGCUAAUAUCCAUGAUAUUUGACGGUACCGCUAGAGGAAGCACCGGCUAACUCCGUG
This 489-nucleotide ribosomal RNA is filed under the name uncultured bacterium. RNAcentral describes it as "bacterial SSU rRNA". It matches the Rfam family "Bacterial small subunit ribosomal RNA", at positions 40 to 507 of the family's 1533-position model. The record is from RNAcentral.